RNAcentral lists this transfer RNA (77 nucleotides) under Bacteroidota bacterium. Its description in RNAcentral is "Bacteroidetes bacterium tRNA-Met". It matches the Rfam family "tRNA". Rfam says of the family: Transfer RNA (tRNA) molecules are approximately 80 nucleotides in length. Their secondary structure includes four short double-helical elements and three loops (D, anti-codon, and T loops). Lineage: Bacteria; Pseudomonadati; Bacteroidota. The record is from RNAcentral.
GGGCCUAUAGCUCAGUUGGUCAGAGCACCUGACUCAUAAUCAGGGGGUCGCUGGUUCAAGCCCAGCUGGGCCCACAA